This 697-nucleotide ribosomal RNA is filed under the name Escherichia coli. Its description in RNAcentral is "partial 23S ribosomal RNA". It matches the Rfam family "Bacterial large subunit ribosomal RNA", at positions 2234 to 2925 of the family's 2925-position model. Lineage: Bacteria; Pseudomonadati; Pseudomonadota; Gammaproteobacteria; Enterobacterales; Enterobacteriaceae. The record is from RNAcentral.
CGUAAUCCGGGUUGCGGACAGUGUCUGGUGGGUAGUUUGACUGGGGCGGUCUCCUCCUAAAGAGUAACGGAGGAGCACGAAGGUUGGCUAAUCCUGGUCGGACAUCAGGAGGUUAGUGCAAUGGCAUAAGCCAGCUUGACUGCGAGCGUGACGGCGCGAGCAGGUGCGAAAGCAGGUCAUAGUGAUCCGGUGGUUCUGAAUGGAAGGGCCAUCGCUCAACGGAUAAAAGGUACUCCGGGGAUAACAGGCUGAUACCGCCCAAGAGUUCAUAUCGACGGCGGUGUUUGGCACCUCGAUGUCGGCUCAUCACAUCCUGGGGCUGAAGUAGGUCCCAAGGGUAUGGCUGUUCGCCAUUUAAAGUGGUACGCGAGCUGGGUUUAGAACGUCGUGAGACAGUUCGGUCCCUAUCUGCCGUGGGCGCUGGAGAACUGAGGGGGGCUGCUCCUAGUACGAGAGGACCGGAGUGGACGCAUCACUGGUGUUCGGGUUGUCAUGCCAAUGGCACUGCCCGGUAGCUAAAUGCGGAAGAGAUAAGUGCUGAAAGCAUCUAAGCACGAAACUUGCCCCGAGAUGAGUUCUCCCUGACCCUUUAAGGGUCCUGAAGGAACGUUGAAGACGACGACGUUGAUAGGCCGGGUGUGUAAGCGCAGCGAUGCGUUGAGCUAACCGGUACUAAUGAACCGUGAGGCUUAACCUU